GGGGAUGAAAUGGCUUCGACGGGGUGAUGGAUUUCUCUUGUGGCAUACCGUGCUUAGUGGUGUUGCACGUUAAUAAAACCGCUGCAUUGAAUAAAUGCCAACAAUAAUUACGCAUUAGCAGCUUAAAAACCGCUGCUACGCUUUUCAAAGGACUUGCCUAUCAGUUCUUUCCAAAGCGCCGAAAACCGAUAGGAUAGUUUAAGUUUGCUCACAAGGGGCUUAAAUGAAAAUCAAACUUGUGAUAGCUGUGGCGCUCCUGUCGUUUGGAUAAGGCUGCAGCGAUAUUCAAAAAGCGACUAAGUAUGUAGAAGCAGUGAAAGAAGCUCUCUGGACGCGGGUUCGACUCCCGCCAUCUCCACAA
This 361-nucleotide transfer-messenger RNA is filed under the name Bacteroidota (CFB group bacteria). RNAcentral's name for it is "JAAYJM01 sp012522895 Standard tmRNA". It matches the Rfam family "transfer-messenger RNA". Rfam says of the family: Bacterial tmRNA, also known as 10Sa RNA or SsrA, is named for its dual tRNA and mRNA-like properties. Its role is to liberate the mRNA from a stalled ribosome. Lineage: Bacteria; Pseudomonadati. RNAcentral also lists the same sequence under 1 other name. The record is from RNAcentral.